UACAGAGGUCCCAAGCGUUGUUCGGAUUCACUGGGCGUAAAGGGUGCGUAGGCGGUCGGGUAAGUCUGAUGUGAAAUCUCGGAGCUCAACUCCGAAACGGCAUCGGAUACUAUCCGGCUCGAGGUGUGGAGGGGGGACUGGAAUUCUCGGUGUAGCAGUGAAAUGCGUAGAUAUCGAGAGGAACACCAGUGGCGAAGGCGAGUCCCUGGACAUUACCUGACGCUGAGGCACGAAAGCUAGGGGAGCAAACAGG
RNAcentral lists this ribosomal RNA (253 nucleotides) under uncultured bacterium. RNAcentral's name for it is "partial 16S ribosomal RNA". It matches the Rfam family "Bacterial small subunit ribosomal RNA", at positions 524 to 776 of the family's 1533-position model. The record is from RNAcentral.